This 260-nucleotide ribosomal RNA is filed under the name uncultured archaeon. RNAcentral's name for it is "partial 16S ribosomal RNA". It matches the Rfam family "Archaeal small subunit ribosomal RNA", at positions 748 to 1008 of the family's 1478-position model. The record is from RNAcentral.
AGGGUGUAAACGCUGCAGACUUGGUGUUGGAAGCCCUUUGGGGGCAUUCAGUGCCGGAGAGAAGUUGUUAAGUCUGCUACUUGGGGAGUACGUCCGCAAGGAUGAAACUUAAAGGAAUUGGCGGGGGAGCACCGCAACGGGAGGAGCGUGCGGUUUAAUUGGAUUCAACACCGUAAACUCACCAGGGAAGACUGUUACAUGAAGGCCGAGAUGAAGACUCUGCCAGAUUUUCAGAGAGGAGGUGCAUGGCGUCAGUGACU